Choloepus didactylus (southern two-toed sloth) is the source of this 3246-nucleotide long non-coding RNA. RefSeq lists it as uncharacterized. Lineage: Eukaryota; Metazoa; Chordata; Mammalia; Pilosa; Megalonychidae. The record is from RefSeq and is a predicted model, not a curated record. The transcript has 5 exons.
UGGAGGGGGAGGCAGGUACUGAUGGGACUUGUUGGGGGGGACUCCCUCUCCUGUGGCUUCUCCAUUGAGAUGGAUUUUCUAGCCACCCCAGUCACUAGGUUACGGCUGGGCAAGCUCUUUCUGUAAAGGGCCAGACAGUAAACACUUUCUGCUUCGCGGCUUCUGGCACAACCACUCAAACCCGUGCGUUUAGCGCAGAAGCAGCCACAGCCGUUAGGGGACAAGGUGCACGGCUGAACGGCAAUUGGACUUUCCUCACAACAAGUGCAGAGGCCGGGCUGGGACCCCGGAGCUAGAUGACCUGUCGUGCAGCACUGGGCUCACUGGUCAGGGUGAUGGCUCAUUUUCUCACCACGUUUUGCCGCCCAUGGAGUCAGGCUGGCACUGGAGGCAUCCGGCACCCAGGCCCGAUGCUAACGCACCUGGAACGGGGCACCUGAGCCCUGGGGGUUACAGUGUCGUUGCUCGCAGAGCCCGUCCUUGCUGCAGCGGGCUUAGGGGACGCUGGGCCCUGCUGAUGGGCUCCCUGGGAGAAGGCAAACAGCGUGGACACGGCGCUGAGGGCUGCCAGCUGGAGCAGGGGCUCGUCUCCUUUCAGACUCACCACUUCUUGUGGAGGCUCAGGAUGCAGGGGGUGAGGUCGUCGUGGGAGAAGCCAGUGAGGUCGCAGAGCCGAGGGCCCCAGGGCUGCGCUGAAGAGGAGGGCACUGGCAGUGAGGGACACACGGACUGCUGCCCAUGCACCCGCCCCACAGCUCUGGCGCUUCUGCCGGGACAUUUCCUGGAGCUAGAUUGUGAGCCCUUUCCUUCAAACUGUUUCGGAAAGACCCCACAGAGGACUCAGUGCUGCCAAAAACAUGGAAAAUGCUUCUUAAGCUAGAACCCUCCCUAAUCUUGUCUCCUGGGGGGAACUGCUUUUGGCUCUUCCUGGGGUGUCUCCUGCCCCGGGUUGGGGCUAUGGCACGCCUUACUGUGUCCGUGCAUCAGCUGGGCCAGGAGGAGGGCAGCGGCGGCCAGGCGGGCCGGGGCAUAGGCAGCUAGGCUGGUGUGCAGCAGCGAGAGCUCGCACAGGAAGCUGCACAGGUGCCGGGUCCUGCGGGCCACGGGGACCAGCGUGACGAGGACCUCCUUGAAGUCGACCACAGUGGGGACCUGCACCGGGGUGGGGGGGGGCACAGGCUCUCAGGCCACUCUCCGUGCCUGACCCCGGGGCACCCACGGCCCCUCCCACCAGGCCAUCAUCUUGGGGAAGAAAAGGCAGCGUCACUUACCCGAAUCCUCCCCUCGAGGGCGGACACAACUUCUCCCAUCAUCCUCACCAGGUCCUCGUACUUGUAUGUGUUGUCUGUGAGCCACACGGCCUCGCGGAUCGUCAGGAUCUCCUUGCUGAUGAACCUGCAACGUCACCAGGGCCUCAGUGCCGGCACCGGCUGCGGUGGGUGCAGCCGCAGGAGCCCCAGGCCCUGGGAGGCACCGAGGCAAGAGAGGAGAAACUGCUCCAGGUGCUGGUGGCCGUACCCAGCCGCCCCUGGCGGGAAAGGCAGGAAAACGGGGAGGCUGCAGCGGUGCUGAAAGGAAGGAGAGCAGGGUCACCAAACAGAUGCAGAGCAGGGCAUGGAAGAGCCACUGACCAGACACAUCUGUCCACUUCCCAAUCCUCUUGACCACCUUAAGAACCGUGCUUUACAGGGGGCCACCAGCCCCCCCAUGGCCUUGUCCCAUGGCAGUGCCUGUGAGGCUGGCACAGGGGCUGUGGGAGCUAGACAGCAGGUUGAUCCCCAUCAGCGGGAAGCAAGGGCCUCAGGUGGCUCGGAGGAAGCAGGCACAUGGCCUGGGGCCCUUGGCAGGCAGCCGGCCCCGACUUGCCCCCAGCACCAGCUCUCAGGACGCCUCGCUCAGCUGGGGUGGUCGGGGCCCGCACACGCGUGCUGGUGUGGGCGGGGGUGGGGGGCCCCAGCGACGAGAGGCGAUGGCGUCAGUGAGAGCCCAGUGCAAGGGCAGGCACUGCUCCCAGAGCAGAUGGGGCGGCCUCAGCCUUCGGAAACGUCUUUGAAGCUGUUGUUGUCUCGCUGCGGCCUGUUUGUGGCUCAGGAACUGGGCCUCAGUUGCAGCGAUGGAGCUACGUGUCGAGCAGCCCACCUCUGCAGCCAGCUUUGGUCUCAAGGCCUGGGCUGGGGAAGCGGCUGCAGAGGACCCAUCUGAAGACUGCAGCAGUGUCCGCUAGGAAGUCGGAGCUGCCUGUAGCCAGGUGCCUCAAGGAGCCGCCCCAGCCCUGCAUGACGCCCUCCACCCACGUCACCAGCCUGAGCCCUCAUGUUGGGGCCCAGCCGCCUGGACACAGGGGCCUGGCGGAGUGGCCGCCCACACCAAGGGGAACCCUGAGGGCCGUCCGCAGCCUGGGAGCAGCUCGGCCUGGACACCCCAACACUGCCCGGCAACCAGGAGCUGCAGCUUGAACCGCGGCACCAGCCUCCGCCGCAGGUACCGGUCCACACACUCCACGCUCAGGUGCAGGCAGAGGCUCGUGAAGUCCUUCAUGGUGGCCACCUCCACCAGCCAGUCGACGAGAAUGUACCUGCGGGUGCAGCGCCGCAUUUCAAACACGAGGAGACGCUCUCCUGGGUGCCCGCCCCAAGCAGCAGGCCCCGCAUCUCCAAACGUCAUUCCGGGAGGGGAAGGAGAGUGGAGCCAGGUGUCUGAAGCCUGAACUAGCAGAGCUUUAACCAGCCUAACAACCUGGCUUAAAACAACAGACCAAGUGAACUGUAUACUCCAAAAUGGUGAGAAUCUACAUUAAACACACACACACAUAAAAUGAAUAGCAGAAAUCAAAACAAAACCAAGGAGCCCGAGAGGGGCAGAAGGUGCUGCUGGCAAGCGGCUUCCAGCAGGAAGAGGAAAGAGCUGGGAGAGAAGUGGCAGGGGGCGGUGCAGGCCGGUGUGUGUGCAGGAUGUUCUGUGACUUAGCGUAAAAGAGUGUUACCUCCAAGCCCUGGAGGAAAAUGGAUGUGCUGGAAGACGCCUGUCACGCUGGGGCCCCCAGGCUUCCCAAGCGCAGCCCCCUCGGCCCGGCAGCUCCUACGGCCGCCGGACACCCCACAACACACCUGUGCUGGUGACAGUGGGUCAAAAGGAAAAGGUGGCUUUUCCGCUUCAGAAAGAGGGAAAUCCCACUAUUUUAGAAAGACACUUAAAAUGGUUUAACACGUUCUGUGUCUUACAAAAAUUAACCCAAGAUAGUGGAAA